CAGGAUAUAUUUUAAAUAAAGUAUUUUAUUUACACUAAAAAGUUAAUUGUUAAAUUCAGUUUAUCUUGA
This 69-nucleotide transfer RNA is filed under the name Nicrophorus nepalensis. RNAcentral's name for it is "tRNA-Val". It matches the Rfam family "tRNA". Rfam says of the family: Transfer RNA (tRNA) molecules are approximately 80 nucleotides in length. The record is from RNAcentral. Lineage: Eukaryota; Metazoa; Arthropoda; Insecta; Coleoptera; Silphidae.